This 253-nucleotide ribosomal RNA is filed under the name uncultured bacterium. RNAcentral's name for it is "partial 16S ribosomal RNA". It matches the Rfam family "Bacterial small subunit ribosomal RNA", at positions 524 to 776 of the family's 1533-position model. The record is from RNAcentral.
UACGAAGGGGGCUAGCGUUGCUCGGAAUUACUGGGCGUAAAGGGCGCGUAGGCGGACAUUUAAGUUAGAGGUGAAAGCCCAGGGCUCAACCCUGGAAUAGCCUUUAAUACUGGAUGUCUUGAGUUCGGGAGAGGUGAGUGGAAUGCCGAGUGUAGAGGUGAAAUUCGUAGAUAUUCGGCGGAACACCAGUGGCGAAGGCGACUCACUGGCCCGAUACUGACGCUGAGGCGCGAAAGCGUGGGGAUCAAACAGG